Molecule: ribosomal RNA, 125 nt
Filed under: Blautia obeum
Lineage: Bacteria; Bacillati; Bacillota; Clostridia; Lachnospirales; Lachnospiraceae
Description: partial 16S ribosomal RNA
Rfam family: Bacterial small subunit ribosomal RNA
Source: RNAcentral
ACACCCGAAGUCGGUGAGGUAACCUUUUGGAGCCAGCCGCCUAAGGUGGGAUAGAUGAUUGGGGUGAAGUCGUAACAAGGUAGCCGUAUCGGAAGGUGCGGCUGGAUCACCUCCUUUCUAAGGAA